This 397-nucleotide ribosomal RNA is filed under the name uncultured bacterium. RNAcentral's name for it is "partial 16S ribosomal RNA". It matches the Rfam family "Bacterial small subunit ribosomal RNA", at positions 523 to 918 of the family's 1533-position model. The record is from RNAcentral.
AUACGUAGGGGGCGAGCGUUGUCCGGAAUGAUUGGGCGUAAAGGGCGCGUAGGCGGCCCGGUAAGUCUGGAGUGAAAGUCCUGUUUUUAAGAUGGGACUUGCUUUGGAUACUGUCGGGCUUGAGUGCAGGAGAGGUAAGUGGAAUUCCCAGGGUCGCGGUGAAAUGCGUAGAGAUUGGGAGGAACACCAGUGGCGAAGGCGACUUACUGGACUGUAACUGACGCUGAGGCGCGAAAGUGUGGGGAGCAAACAGGAUUAGAUACCCUGGUAGUCCACACUGUAAACGAUGAAUGCUAGGUGUAGGGGGUAUCGACCCCUUCUGUGCCGCAGUCAACACAAUAAGCAUUCCGCCUGGGGAGUACGGCCGCAAGGUUGAAACUUAAAGGAAUUGACGGGG